GGCAGAAAUAUCUACCUCGUCAGCCCCUCUCUUUCCUUCAUCUCUUCUUCGUCCUAUUCCUCUUCUACAGGCAGCCGCCGGCGCCGCUUCCUCCCUCCCUCUCGGCUGCCUUGUCUCCUCUGCCUCCACCUCCUCCUCCCAUGUCUCCUCACUCGACCUCCCCUGCCUCCUCACCUGACUGGCACAGAUAGGACGAUGUGCAGUCAAAGGGAGAUGGCGGCGCUCGAUCCGAUCUGUAGGAGAGAGAAGAUGAGAGGGAGAGAUAGAAGGAAGGAGAGAAUGGAUGGUGUGGUCUUCAUGACGCGUGUGGAGGAGCAGGAGAGAAGAUGGGAGAGAGAGGGAGAGGAUCUUGAGGAAGAGUAUAGGACAAGGUGAUCUCUCUCUCUCUCUCUCUCAUCUGCCUAGAUUGAUUUCGUUUCCAGGUUAUAAUUUUUACGGGGGGCAAAUGCUUCAGAAAAUCUGUGCUGCAUACUGGAAUCAUGUUGUUCAAGGUAAAACCAGCAAAGUUCUCUUUGAUGUUCUUUACAUUAGAUUAACCUGUUUCUUGCAAUAUCCCAAUUUUUUUUGCCUAUUUUAGUGCAAUAUUUAGAACUGUACUAACCACAGAUUCAGUUUGGAAUUUGAACUAUGUCCCGUCGUUUAUGUUUGAGACACUCGAACAUCCGGAGGCUAGCCCAUAGCCCCAUACUACAUCACCAUAUGUUGUCAUCUUUUGAUCCGAGCAAAUGUUGAAGUAAAAAAAACACCAUUAGUAAGAGAGUAUAUAUGUAUAUUUCAAGAAAGGAUGGGUGAAAUAGCAGGUCAGAGAUGCUACAAUAUACUCCCUCCGUUCGGAAUUACUUGUCGUAGAAAUGGAUGUAUCUAGACGUAUUUUAGUUUUAGAUACAUCCAUUUCCGAGACAAGUAAUUCCGAACGGAGGGAGUACUUUGUUUGUUUGGGUUGGGGAGCCAGCCAGCGCACCGCCUCGUCAGUUUUGCACCGCUGCCA
RNAcentral lists this ribosomal RNA (988 nucleotides) under Triticum aestivum (bread wheat). Its description in RNAcentral is "partial small subunit ribosomal RNA". The stretch from base 815 to 929 matches the Rfam family "MIR1120/MIR1122 microRNA precursor family". Lineage: Eukaryota; Viridiplantae; Streptophyta; Magnoliopsida; Poales; Poaceae. The record is from RNAcentral.